GUAGGUGGCAAGCGUUGUCCGGAAUUAUUGGGCGUAAAGCGCGCGCAGGCGGUUCUUUAAGUCUGAUGUGAAAGCCCACGGCUCAACCGUGGAGGGUCAUUGGAAACUGGAGAACUUGAGUACAGAAGAGGAAAGCGGAAUUCCACGUGUAGCGGUGAAAUGCGUAGAGAUGUGGAGGAACACCAGUGGCGAAGGCGGCUUUCUGGUCUGUAACUGACGCUGAGGCGCGAAAGCGUGGGGAGCAAACAGGAUUAGAUACCCUGGUAGUCCACGCCGUAACCGAUGAGUGCUAAGUGUUAGGGGGGUUUCCGCCCCCCUUAGUGCUGCAGCUAACGCAUUAAGCACUCCGCCUGGGAGUACGGCCGCAAGGCUG
This 373-nucleotide ribosomal RNA is filed under the name uncultured organism. Its description in RNAcentral is "partial 16S ribosomal RNA". It matches the Rfam family "Bacterial small subunit ribosomal RNA", at positions 527 to 896 of the family's 1533-position model. The record is from RNAcentral.